This 248-nucleotide ribosomal RNA is filed under the name Thelephoraceae sp. Its description in RNAcentral is "partial large subunit ribosomal RNA". It matches the Rfam family "Eukaryotic large subunit ribosomal RNA", at positions 104 to 344 of the family's 3401-position model. The record is from RNAcentral. Lineage: Eukaryota; Fungi; Basidiomycota; Agaricomycetes; Thelephorales; Thelephoraceae.
AGAGCUCAAAUUUAAAAUCUGGUGUGCCUCUGGUCACCCGAGUUGUAGUCUGGAGAAGUGUUUUCCGUGUUGGACCGUGUACAAGUCCCUUGGAACAGGGCGUCAUAGAGGGUGAGAAUCCCGUCUUUGACACGGACUACCAAUGCUUUGUGAUGCGCUCUCAAAGAGUCGAGUUGUUUGGGAAUGCAGCUCAAAAUGGGUGGUAAAUGCCAUCUAAAGCUAAAUAUUGGCGAGAGACCGAUAGCGAA